This 649-nucleotide ribosomal RNA is filed under the name Tulasnella sp. AUG 028. Its description in RNAcentral is "eukaryotic LSU rRNA". Lineage: Eukaryota; Fungi; Basidiomycota; Agaricomycetes; Cantharellales; Tulasnellaceae. The record is from RNAcentral.
AAAAUUUUUUUUUUUUAAAUAGUGUUACAAAGAUAUACAUGUGGACCUUUUUAUAAUCAUUAGCAGAAACUGCACGACAAAGGCAGCAGGAGCCCUGCAAUUCCGCGAGACCAGCUCCUAUUUGCUGGGGAUAGACUGUCUCCAUUUCGGCAGGACACAAUGGAGAAACGGCUCCGUGUGCAAUUUCUAGCAAGGUGCAACACUCAGAUUGUGGUCAACAUUGUGAAAAUGUUGGCCAUCGCGACCUAGGGAACCGUGCAGUAAGCUACUUCUGGCAACGUUUAACGCUAUUUCACUACACUACGCGUUCAGGUGGUGAAUAUGCACUUAGUAGCUCAACAACUUGCGUGACGUGGCGCGGGAUUAGGCCGACGCCAUACGUGGGGAAACUCGCAGUAACAUAGGGAAGCCCUCAGAAAAGAUUUUGUGGUCAAAAGUCAGGAGAGAGAAACCUAGCGCAAGAGAAUCUACGCAGAGCGGGUAUCGUACUCCCCAGUGAGAUUACGCCCUCGCACCUCAGGGAGCCUCUAGUCUGUGCGAACACUGUCACAACUCGAGAGCAGAGGUUCAGGGGUGCAGAACAUCUGGACACUGAUGUUKUGUACUGGAGAGACACCAUAUUCUUGGGGGAUCUGAAUUUGUAUAGAAU